This 511-nucleotide ribosomal RNA is filed under the name uncultured bacterium. Its description in RNAcentral is "partial 16S ribosomal RNA". It matches the Rfam family "Bacterial small subunit ribosomal RNA", at positions 28 to 507 of the family's 1533-position model. The record is from RNAcentral.
GAUGAACGCUGGCGGCGUGCCUAAUACAUGCAAGUUGAACGAAACUUCUUUAUAACCGAGUGAUUGCACUCACCGAUAAAGAGUUGAGUGGCGAACGGGGGAGUACACUGUGGGCAACGGCCCAAAAGAUGGGGAUAAGACGUGGGAAACAGGGACAAUUCCGCAAAACCAUUGUUAACGGAAUGUUACUAUUGAAAAAGGUGAUAGACUUCCGGCUUUUGGUUGGCCCGCGGCGCAUUUGCCUGUUGGUAGGGUAAAGGCUUACCAAGGCAAUUGAGGGUAGCCGAAUUGAGAGGUUGAUCGGCCACAUUGGGACUGAGACACGGCCCAAACUCCUACGGGAGGCAGCAGUAGGGAAUCUUCCACAAUGGGCGAAAUCCUGAUGAAGCAACGCCGCGUAGGUGAAGAAGUUCUUCGGAUCGUAAAACCCUGUUGUUAGAGAAGAAAGUGCGUUAGAGUAACUGUUCACGUUUCGACGGUAUCUAACCAGAAAGCCACUGCUAACUACGUG